AUGAUGGGGAAAAUGGGAUUUAGCACAUGGUGGAUCCGGUUAUUCAUGAAAUGUGUUACUACGGUGCACUAUCAGAUAAAGGUCAACCAUGAUGUGACAAAUGUCAUUACCCCUAGCAGAGGCCUGAGACAAGAAAGGAGCAAAAAGAUUCAAGGAAUAAAAAUCUCAAGAAGGGCUCCAAGUGUGAACCAUCUGCUCUUUGCAGAUGAUUCCUUACUACUAAUGAAGGUCGAGGAUAGAAGCAUGAAAGAAGUGGAUCAAAUCUUGAAGCAGUAUGCAGAUUUCUCUGGACAAGUAAUUAACAAAGACAAAUCUGCUAUCAUGUUCAGCAAAAAUACUCCUCGGGAGAAGAGACAUGCCACAAUGCAGAUUUUGAACCUGAAUUGUGAAGCCAAAACAGAGAAAUACCUGGGAUUGCCCAUCUAUAUCGGAAAUUCAAAGUCAAAAACAUUUGCAUACCUAAAGGAUAGGAUUUGGAGAAAGAUCCAAGGUUGGAAAGAACGCAUGCUAUCAAUGGAUGGCAAGGAAAUUCUAAUCAAAGCGGUAGCACAAUCAGUACCAAUCUAUGCAAUGGCGUGCUUUGAUCUCACCAAAUCUCUAUGUGAUCAAAUGAGCAAAAUAAUAUGCAAGUACUAG
This 636-nucleotide ribosomal RNA is filed under the name Triticum aestivum (bread wheat). RNAcentral describes it as "partial small subunit ribosomal RNA". The record is from RNAcentral. Lineage: Eukaryota; Viridiplantae; Streptophyta; Magnoliopsida; Poales; Poaceae.